AAGUCGUAACAAGGUUUCCGUAGGUGAACCUGCAGAAGGAUCAUUAACACGUAUCCAAACGUUAAAACCCCCCCCCGUGAACCUUCAUCCUGCACUCGGGUAGGAGCUUUGCCAAAGGGUCCCCAGCCCCCUAAUAACUCUGUUAACAAUGGAUAUCUUGGUUCUC
Molecule: unclassified non-coding RNA, 166 nt
Filed under: fungal sp.
Lineage: Eukaryota; Fungi
Description: partial internal transcribed spacer region
Rfam family: Eukaryotic small subunit ribosomal RNA (bases 1-46)
Source: RNAcentral